UACGGGGGGGGUAAGCGUUGUUCGGAAUUACUGGGCGUAAAGGGCUCGUAGGCGGCUAACUAAGUCAUACGUGAAAUCCCUCAGCUUAACUGGGGAACUGCGUGUGAUACUGGAUGGCUUGGAUUUGGGAGAGGGGUGCGGAAUUCCAGGUGUAGCGGUGAAAUGCGUAGAUAUCUGGAGGAACACCGGUGGCGAAGGCGGCAUCCUGGACCAAUAUUGACGCUGAGGAGCGAAAGCCAGGGGAGCAAACGGG
RNAcentral lists this ribosomal RNA (253 nucleotides) under uncultured bacterium. RNAcentral describes it as "partial 16S ribosomal RNA". It matches the Rfam family "Bacterial small subunit ribosomal RNA", at positions 524 to 776 of the family's 1533-position model. The record is from RNAcentral.